Molecule: long non-coding RNA, 1045 nt
Organism: Notolabrus celidotus (New Zealand spotty)
Lineage: Eukaryota; Metazoa; Chordata; Actinopteri; Labriformes; Labridae
Exons: 5
Source: RefSeq, a predicted model, not a curated record
CCUUGAGGUGGACAUGCAGACAGCAAUGGGCUGGUGGAACCUUUUAAAAAGGGUUCGCUGUGACUAAAAGUCUCAGGUCUGUUGGUAGAGAAGCAGCUUUAGCUGGAAACUGAUGACAGACGUGAAAAAAGAGUAAAUAAAUGAAGCUACACACUGCCUGAGUCCCCAACACACCACAGUAUGAGGAAUGACAGAGCGAGCAGAGCGGUCCCCAGCAGGUCUCCAAGGGCUGUGAGGUAAGGUAUUGAAUAACUGUCCGGGUCUUUACCCCUCCGCCACAGAAAGUGCACCAUGCAGUCAGCUAUAAGCAGCAGGGAGGAGACCUGAGAGAGACACAGGACAGGAGUGAUAGAGAUGAACAGUGUUGGAGUCUGGAGAGAUUAAAUGACCACACCUCUGAUUCACCUGAAUCAGACAAGCAGACAGGAAGGUGACAAUGAAGAGAGGACUGGGCAGAGUGUGGCCUCCUUUUAUCAGGUGGAUGGCGUAUAUAAAGACCAGCUGACCAGACUGUGAACAAGUGAGUGUUGGUGAGCACCUGCUGAUGAUCAUGGCUGUAAUGAUGGGUUCCCAGCCUGUGCGGAGCAGGAUGAGACUGGCUGAAUGUUUGGAGGCGAUGAUCACCCAGAGAGGAAUCAAACACAGUAAUAACAGAUCCGCCAGGAGAAGAACCACUGACUGAAGCAGGCCAGCAGAGCGAGAGUGAUGAGGUCCCCAAAGCUGGCUGCCAUGGGUGUGGCCACGUUGUCAGGGUUGAUCCCCAUCCGCUUGGAGCCAAAAAUCACUCCCACCAUAAUAAUACCUGGAGAGUGGGAACAACAAGGAUAUUGCAUCGCAAGUUCAUCUGCAGCUGCAUUGUUCACAGGUCUGUGAGGAGUUUCACACAGAGACAGAGGCCCCUGGUGUAAGAGAGCAAAAAUAUUAUUCUGAGAAAGAGGUUGUAGGUACCCUGUGAACAAGCUUUGUAAUAUUCACUCUCACCCCAUGUCAACUCAGCUUCCCAACUCGGUCAACAUUUUUUCAUUCAUUCAAUUUAUUCAUUAAA